This is a long non-coding RNA of Brienomyrus brachyistius, 305 nucleotides long. RefSeq lists it as uncharacterized. The transcript has 4 exons. The record is from RefSeq and is a predicted model, not a curated record. NCBI's taxonomy places the organism in Eukaryota, Metazoa, Chordata, Actinopteri, Osteoglossiformes, Mormyridae.
AUUAGCCCUCUUAUGCGGAGAUCCUGGUGAAGGCAGUAGAGGAACGUCAGUUGGUGGCAGCCCGUUCUUCCGAGCAGAACCGGGGGGACAGGAGCGCAGUUAGAGGAUUCCACCAGAGCACCUAACAUCAUCCUGCCAUGCGUUAAAAGCUGCACAGCUGCACCACCCAUGCAGACGGAAGCAUCCCGUGCUGACGGCCUGCAGCUGUGCGUGUCCGGGGUCGACGUCCCGCCCACCCCAUCACCGACCGCUAAUUACGACCCGCCGCGUGUAGCGGAACUGCUCCUGCUGCAUGCACGAUCUUC